RNAcentral lists this transfer RNA (69 nucleotides) under Heterocephalus glaber (naked mole-rat). It matches the Rfam family "tRNA". Rfam says of the family: Transfer RNA (tRNA) molecules are approximately 80 nucleotides in length. Their secondary structure includes four short double-helical elements and three loops (D, anti-codon, and T loops). Further hydrogen bonds mediate the characteristic L-shaped molecular structure. tRNAs have two regions of fundamental functional importance: the anti-codon, which is responsible for specific mRNA codon recognition, and the 3' end, to which the tRNAs corresponding amino acid is attached (by aminoacyl-tRNA synthetases). tRNAs cope with the degeneracy of the genetic code in two manners: having more than one tRNA (with a specific anti-codon) for a particular amino acid; and 'wobble' base-pairing, i.e. permitting non-standard base-pairing at the 3rd anti-codon position. Lineage: Eukaryota; Metazoa; Chordata; Mammalia; Rodentia; Bathyergidae. The record is from Rfam by way of RNAcentral.
GGGGAUUUAGCUCAGUGGUGCAGCGCCUGCCUGGCAAGCAUGAGGCCCUGGAUUCGAUUUCCAGUACCA